Molecule: ribosomal RNA, 694 nt
Filed under: uncultured bacterium
Lineage: Bacteria
Description: bacterial SSU rRNA
Rfam family: Bacterial small subunit ribosomal RNA
Source: RNAcentral
UUAGAUACCCUGGUAGUCCACGCCGUAAACGAUGGAUACUCGCUGCGAGCUAAAGAUUGUUCGUGGCUUAGGGAAACCGAUAAGUAUCCCACCUGGGGAGUACGCCGGCAACGGUGAAACUCAAAGGAAUUGACGGGGGCCCGCACAAGUGGUGGAGCAUGUGGUUUAAUUCGAUGAUACGCGAGGAACCUUACCUAGGCUAGAAUGCGCGUGACCGGCUCAGAGAUGAGCCUUUCCUUCGGGACACAAAGCAAGGUGCUGCAUGGCCGUCGUCAGCUCGUGCCGUGAGGUGUUGGGUUAAGUCCCGCAACGAGCGCAACCCCUAUGUUUAGUUGCCAGCAUGUAAUGAUGGGGACUCUAGACAGACUGCCUGCGCAAGCAGUGAGGAAGGCGGGGACGACGUCAGGUCAUCAUGGCCCUUACGCCUAGGGCGACACACGUGCUACAAUGGACGGUACAGCGGGUAGCUACACAGCGAUGUGAUGCCAAUCUCGAAAAGCCGUUCUCAGUUCGGAUCGGAGUCUGCAACUCGACUCCGUGAAGCUGGAAUCACUAGUAAUCGCGCAUCAGCCAUGGCGCGGUGAAUACGUUCCCGGGCCUUGUACACACCGCCCGUCAAGCCAUGAAAGUCUGGUAGACCUGAAGCUGGUGCUCCGCAACGAAGCCAGUUAGGGUAGAACAGGUAAUUAGGGCU